Molecule: ribosomal RNA, 497 nt
Filed under: uncultured bacterium
Lineage: Bacteria
Description: partial 16S ribosomal RNA
Rfam family: Bacterial small subunit ribosomal RNA
Source: RNAcentral
GAUGAACGCUGGCGGCGUGCCUAGUACAUGCAAGUCGAGCGAACGGACGAGAAGCUUGCUUCUCUGAUGUUAGCGGCGGACGGGUGAGUAACACGUGGAUAACCUACCUAUAAGACUGGGAUAACUUCGGGAAACCGUAGCUAAUACCGGAUAAUAUUUUGAACCGCAUGGUUCAAAAGUGAAAGACGGUCUUGCUGUCACUUAUAGAUGGAUCCGCGCUGCAUUAGCUAGUUGGUAAGGUAACGGCUUACCAAGGCAACGAUGCAUAGCCGACCUGAGAGGGUGAUCGGCCACACUGGAACUGAGACACGGUCCAGACUCCUACGGGAGGCAGCAGUAGGGAAUCUUCCGCAAUGGGCGAAAGCCUGACGGAGCAACGCCGCGUGAGUGAUGAAGGUCUUCGGAUCGUAAAGCGCUGUUAUUAGGGAAGAACAUAUGUGUAAGUAACUGUGCACAUCUUGACGGUACCUAAUCAGAAAGCCACGGCUAACUACGUG